Molecule: long non-coding RNA, 1847 nt
Organism: Dermochelys coriacea (leatherback sea turtle)
Lineage: Eukaryota; Metazoa; Chordata; Testudines; Dermochelyidae
Exons: 4
Source: RefSeq, a predicted model, not a curated record
CUCAUUUGGGUGGCAGAGCGGAGCUGAGCGGCUCUGGCACAGCUGCCUAAAGGGCCUUCCUGAGGCCCACCCCAGAAGCACUCAGAGGGGGAAGUAUCCCCCUCUCCCCUGCCUGUGGACCCUGGACAUUGGAGAUUGUAAGGAAAAACAACCAGGAAGGGGAAGAGAAGGGCUCAAGCUAAGCCAUGUCUGAGCAAGGCAUUAAGAGGCAGUGCCGGAACAGGAAAAGGCCUGGGAACCAGAGAUCAAAAGAACUGUAGCAGGUUUAAAAAGGAACACUUUCUCUUCAUGGAUAGAUGGGGGCUGAGACAAAGGCACCUGCUGGGUGGCUGAAGAAGUUAGGCCUCCCUAGGCUGCCAUCAGCAGCUAGUAAACCUUCAGGUGGAACUUUGCAGGAGCAUGUGUAAGCAACUAGGUGCCAAGGAAGUCUGAGGCACUGGUUUCCAGGACUAAAGAGGCUGGACUGCAGAAUGAUGACACAGAAGGGUUCAGACAAGAGGUUCGAGCCUGGGAGUGCACCCUAGAGUCCCAGAGCUAGCAACAGUGAUUAGAUUCUACCUGGAUCCAGUUGGCUUAAAAGCAAUUGGGUCCACUCAUAACAGACUGGUGUCUAUUCAGAGGAGCACUGGAUCAGGUUGUAGCAAAGGAUCAUCUGUGUCUGUCUAGUGCAACUUUGUGAGCAAGUUGAAUGCAAAGAAAAUCUUCCCGUGCACCCUCCCCAUUCUCCAAAAAAGAGGGAGGCUGUCCUUUUUAGCCCAUUACUUGUCUAUGGUUGAUUGUCUGUCUGUCUCCAAAUCUAUAGCACUGUUUGAGAAAUGGUUUUGUGUAACUAACUCAGACACUUCUCCAGAUUAGCAAGGAUACUAAUUAAUAACACGUAAUUACAGCACAGUAAUAGCAAAAAGAGGUUUAUGAUUUAUUCUACUUUCCAACUUGCAACUAAAAGCCAAAGUACAACAUCCACUUCUCUUUACUGAUAGGUAUUCUAGAUUUUUUUUUUUUUUUUUUUGGGGGUCAGAAUCAAUGGCAUCUCAUGACAGCUCAAUAAGUUUUAUAUGCAGAUCAAGGCAAGUCAAGAUCCUCAGGCCUGGCUCAAACUGUCAGCCCCAAAUCUGGCCCAGUCUGUUGCUUCUCUAAUGAUUCAUCUAACAAAGGUGCAAUUUGGGUGAAGAGUGAUUUUUUGUAAUAUAGACACUUAUACACUAGGAACUGGACUGAGACCACCAAUUCAUGUAGGACAGACAUCAAUGGUGAUGGGAUAGGGGUAUAGAGGUGUGACACUGAGUCAGAACGGGUCAAGCAACCAGCAGGCUAACGUGACCCAGAUCAACCUUUAAAAACCAAUUAGAGAAGUAUUGAAAUGGUGAACAGGGCCAUUUCUUGUAGAUAGUUAUCAAAGCCAUGUUAGAUAGGCCCGAGUGCUUGAAAUGCAAGUUUGUAUUGCCACAAUGUAUAUUACCUGUUCUUCGUCCAAGGCAUACCUCCUGUGACCUGCCCCAGGAGGCUAUUGUAACCUGCCAGAGAGCUAUAAAAGAACUAUGGGACCUGAUCCUUUUUUUCAUCUCAGAACUGCUUAAGCUUGGUCAAGGGAAGCUUGAGUCGCAAGACAGGUCUCCAACUCCAGUCUGGAUUACCCUGCUAUUUCUCAUAGAAGAAUUUAAAAAGACUCUGCACAUGGACUGCCUAUUGGAUUAUAAUCUAUGGAACUGAUUCUGGAAAAACUUUCUACAAAUCAGCAGCUCACCAUCUCUACUAUGAAACUGACUCAAGAACUUUAUUAAUAUAUUUAUGCAUUUAUAAUCGUUUAACCACAGUGACUUUCUUUUUAAAUAAAUCUUAGUUUAGUU